UCCACAUAAAUAAAUGAAGUUGCGCAAAACCAGGAGGCAGCCGGGAAACCCUCACCGUUCGCCGGGUUCCGGCCAUUUCCGGUCACCCUUAACCUCCCCUUGUGCCGGUUCAUCAUCCACCGUCAUCUCCACCGUAGAUCUAACGGAAUCCGGCGACGUUUGGGCUUCCUUCGUGCGACCUUUCAUCUUCCGGCGAGUUUCUUCCAUUUUCCGGCGAAGGUUCGGCUUCCCGAGUGUUGGGUCAUCUUCCCCGAGCUUUCUUGCCGCUGAUUUGACUGUUCUCCGGCGAGUUUCAUCACUUUACAUAUUGUGACUCUUCGGCUUCCAGGCGAGUUUUCGCUCACUUUCCGGGGAUGUUGCACCUCCCCAGCUACCGAUCCUCACUCCCCAGCUCGAGAGCGACCUCCCGGUACCUUCGGGUCAUCGUUUCGCCACCGGCCGCCGGGAACCACCACUGGAAUCCUCCCUUGGCCACAAACCACCUUCUCCAACUGCCGGUGAUUCGUUUUCCACCAUGACCGGCACCAUUUCACCGUCUCCAGCUACCGUCGACACCACCAUGAGCGGCUGAGCUCCCGGUUGCCCGUUACGGUGUAGGCCAGACCAAGUUAAAUGCCCUACCAGGUGGCCUUUUCCAGAAGACAAAACUCGAUAUAUCAGUGAUAAUUCAUAAAUGUCCUAUUCCUGAAGCACAUCAAAUUGAGGGUCGUACUCGUACCUGCAAGGAAGCCCAAAUUGAAUUAUCAAUUUGACAGCAGCUACCAGCAACCCACAAGCCACAGUUAAAUGAUGCUACUUACAAAUGUAGAAUGGUUUCUGGAAGUUAAGAAAAGCAAUCAAACUGAAUCUGUUUCAAAGAUCAAAUUGGCUAUUAUCCUUGCAGAUAAAAUAUACCUAAGGACAGAACUACGAAGAGCCGAUUUUUCUUGUAACAAACAGAAAAUAUUUCCGAUGAAACAAGUGCCUAAUGUUUUGUUUCCACAUUUGCUUGAUAUUAUUGCUUUUUAGCCAAGGUUGCUAAAAAGAAGUUGUGUCUAGCGAAAGGAUUUAUUAGUUAUUCAGAAUUUUCUCCAUUACUGUCAACUGUUAUCCUGAUGCAGGAGAAUUUAACAAUAAAUCUUCAUGGAUUGGAACUCCGAGUGCAAUUUGUAAUUGUAUUGCAGAGCGUGGUCUUGGUCAACCCUCAAAAUCAAUCUUGUUAUCUCCAAGAAUAUCCUGUGAUACAACCUGCACAAUGGAUAAAAUCCAUUUCUAUUUCUCUUCUAGGAGAAUUCGGACACAACUCUAAUGUGUUCUGAACAGUUUCUGCAUCAUAAAAAACAUUCAUCAGCUCCGUCAUUCAUUUGUUCUAUCAAACAAGAUGACCUUGUCGGCAGGCUAUGGACUAUGCACAUUCAUCUUCAAGGUUAACCAUGGAUUAGUCUCCAAGAGCAGAAUUACAACCCUUGGCUUUCCCUUGACGACAAGCUUUCAUUCAUGCAAUGGAAUUUGCAGCUUCUUGUGUUCCAAUCAUGUCAAGAUGCAACUCAACCAUAUCCUUCACCAUUUGAAGUGAGAUUCAUAUAUUGUUUCAUUACACAAGAUUUUGCCUUCUCCACAGGACAACUCUGAAACCAGGGAUAGAUUCAUUCUUUGAAUUCAUUGGACACAGCUCAUUACUCAAUUAGCAUUGUUAGAGCAUGGAGCUUUCUUCAAAACUUACAAGAGAGAAUACCAGCUGCAGCUGGAAACAGGAAGGUUUGCUGUAACAUUUCUCUUUUUUUUUUUUUAACUGUCUCGGUUCUGGUCUGCUUUCUUUUUAAGGUCUUUGUUUUAUAUUAUUAUAUGUUUGGUGAUAAUAAGACCAUCAAACAGUUGGCUUCUAGAAGACUGGUGUUAAAAGGAGACAGGACAGGACUGAGGACUCUAAUGGUUUGUCUCGUGCACCAAAAAUUAAACUGGACAAAUGUAUGGUUAAUACUGAGAAUUUAUAGUUCUCUUACAAGUUUACUUUUUUUUGGGAAAUCUGACAAAUGUGAGCGAUGCGGAUACUGCCCCAAAAAUUGAAUAUGUAUCUGAUAUGUUGGCACAUGAAAUAAGAAACCAUGUGAUUGGCCAUAUUUUUGUUUUGGUGCAUGUGAAGGAUAAAGGAAAUACAAUAUACCAGAUGAAACAAGUGCUCAUUCUUCACUUGUCUCACCUGUCUGAGUUCUCCAAAUUACGCGAUGAGAAGGAUGGGGGAAGAAAAAGAAGAAUUACAACAUGUCAUGACUUCAUUCCUCAGCGGUUGGAUAUUAACCCCAAGUUACUACAGGAUUUAGGUUUAUUAAACCAAAAACCUUUCACAUAACCGUGCUGAUGUUGAAAUUGUGGAACAAGGACCGAGUUAACGCAGCUAUUGAGUUUUGAAGAGUAUUUCCUCGAAAGUGAUGGAUGCCUUGGAUGAUCGAUCCAUCUUUGUAAGACUAAAGGGGCUGGUGGAAUUGUUUUUCAAGUUCAAAUACAGCUUAUAUUGAGUUUGAGUCUUUGAGCUGACGGGACAUAGA
Molecule: RNA transcript, 2525 nt
Organism: Pistacia vera
Lineage: Eukaryota; Viridiplantae; Streptophyta; Magnoliopsida; Sapindales; Anacardiaceae
Exons: 11
Source: RefSeq, a predicted model, not a curated record